Sus scrofa (pig) is the source of this 2625-nucleotide long non-coding RNA. RefSeq lists it as uncharacterized. Lineage: Eukaryota; Metazoa; Chordata; Mammalia; Artiodactyla; Suidae. The record is from RefSeq and is a predicted model, not a curated record.
CUGCCUUCUCAGGGAUACCACAACGGGAACUUAGAGCUGUUAUUUCCAGGGUCUUUCCCCUUAUAAGUUAUUACAAAAUAUUGAGUGUAUCUCCCAAGUGGCAUUUAAAGAUCACUCCGGCAGCUGGUGAAGACUGGAUGAAGGGGCCAUGAGUGGGGCAAGAGGCCUGCUGGAAACCCCUGCCUUGUCUCGGGGAGAACAUGCUGGCCUGGACCAAGGUGUUAAGGCAGGGGUGGAGACCACUGGACAGACCCACCAUGCGGGCCUGGAGGUGGGGCCCAUGGGCUGGCCCCUGGAUGCGGGGGGCAGGUGAUGGUACUGCCCUGGGGACCAGGAAGGGGGCCUGGCCCUGAGGCCUUUCAGGCGGGUCCAUGGAGCCUGGACUACCUGCUCAGCUCCUUCUGCCCUGCUCCAUCCAGCUGUCACCAAGACCCUGACCAGGCCACCUCCCCCUCCCCCAGCAGGCAGCCUCACGCUGCUGAUGGGCCAGGCCCAUCCUGGUCACCUUGCUUCCCAGCCAGAAAGCCUCCACAGCCUGGGCGAGGGAGUCCAAGCUAAUUCAGGGCCUCUCCCACCUCUCCUGGUUGUCAGUGUGAGGGGAACUUUGGGGACAAGGGGACGCUCCCUGCAAUGGACUGUGUGACAGGAGUUGGGGCCCUGCCUCCCCGCCAGCGCUUCCAGACAAUCCACACGACUGGAGGAUGUCCACAGGCAAAAUUGUCGCCAAGAGAAGGAAGGAAGAGCCCCGACCGGCUCUGCCUCUGUGGGGAAAGAGCCUGUUUGCAGCCUCCAAGGAAGCCUGCUGAAUAGCUGUACUUAUCAGGUCCUGGCUGAGCCUUGAGUUGGCAGAGGUGAACCGAAGGAAACUACAACAGACAUACAAGUCACCGCCUCCCACGACAGUCUGGGACUGCCAUUCUGUAAGGGCUCCGGGGUUCAAAGAGACCUGAGAGGCCGGAUGGAGCCCUUCUGCUGGGGUUGCUCAGGGGAGGCUUCUCGGAGGAGAGAGCAUUUAAGCUGGGCGCGGAGGCCUGGGCUGGCAGUGGCAGGGCUCAGCCCACUGAUUGGCUGAUGGAUCUGCAAAAGUUGGAACAUCCAUGGGUGCUAAGUCUGCUGGGACCAAGGAUCUGAAAUGACUUCAUUGCCGAGCUGAGCGUGGACCCUGAAACCUACUUGGUUUGGUAACCUGCACGUUGUACCCAGCUGACAUUGCCCCCACCGGAUAUCCAUGGAACUGGCCAAGCUGGACACUGGGGAGGGACAGGUGUGGGCCGAUGGCCUCUGGACACUGCUUCUCCCACACUUGGGCUGAGUCCUAUGCUGUGAACCCAGACACCAAGAUGACAAGACCAACAGGGCAAGACCUCCGGGGGCCUGGCCUGGCCCCCCUCAUGCAGUGCCUCUAACAUGUUAUCCUCUCUUCAGGCCUCCAGCCCUCGCCAAGGCCCAAGGCUGUGCUAAGGCUCUGUUGAGAGCCAACCUGGGGGCCCAGGGCCUGCCUGGGCAGAGAUUGCGCCCAGGAGGCGGUGAGCUGUGCUGACUCCCAGGAAGACAGCCAACACCUGCACCAGCCUGCCCAGGCACACCCCUCUGCCCCAGCCAACUAUGACACAGCUGUCAAGGCCUAGCCCAGCUGUCAUUUCCUCUGGGCUGGGGCCAGGGUUAUCAGUAGGGUCUCCAGCCUUGGUGCUUCUGUGACAUGGAUGGGGUGAGGAAUUAAACACACAGGAAAACCAAUUCAGACAAUCAAGGAGAAAAAGAAAUGUAGUAUUCCAUGUAACUGCCAAGUCCAGGGUAUCCUUCAGGCAUGGCUGGAUCCAGGGCUCAAAGGCUCUGCCUCUUUUUGUGUUGUCUCCAUCUCAUGGGGGUCCCAGGCCAACAUUUUCCCUCUCAGCUAUCCUGGCAGAAUCAGAGAUUUUCCUUGCCCGUUGUUCUAACAAAGGUUUCAAAACUGGGCCUCUCUGGCUGGGAUCAUACGUCCACCCUGGAAGCAUGAAGGACUGAAGUUAACUCUGCCUGGACAAUGUGGCCUGAGGGUGGCAGAGGAGAAGGGGUGUACUUAGCCGUUGAAGGGGAGAUGGAGCGGGUCAGGCAGCAGCACAGCUGUCUCCCUCAUUUGCAGCUGGCUCCCCACCAGAUGGGCAAUGCUCGGGCAGGGAUAGUGUCCGAGGCAUGUAUGCCCCGGCUUGGCCAUUUACAAGGCCAGCAACAGAGCAAGGGCUAUAGCAUACUGUCUUUGGGUGAGUUCCUCAGGACAUUGGCAUGUGCUGUUCCCUCUGCCUGGAACAGCCGAGCACCUCCCUCCUCCUCCAAUUAGGUAUCUCCUCAUCCUGCAGGUCUGGAAUUCUAAAUAGAUGCACAUUCAUCCUCUCACUCUAUCCUCAUGGCCUUUUUUAACCUCUGCUUCAUAUUUUCUGUCUUCUUAUUUCUUAUGCUGCAUCCUGGGAAAUUUCCUCAGACCUAUGCUCCAAUUCACUGAUUCUCUCUUCAGCUGUUUAACGUUUCAAUUCUUAUAUUUUCAUUGGUAAAAAUGAUAUUUGGUUGUUUUUCAAAUCUGUCCUAUCUUUAAAAAAUAGACUCUCAUUCUUUUAUUUUACGUUAUUUUUUGCUUUUUAGGGCUGCAUC